Molecule: transfer RNA, 81 nt
Filed under: Felis catus (domestic cat)
Lineage: Eukaryota; Metazoa; Chordata; Mammalia; Carnivora; Felidae
Rfam family: tRNA
About the family: Transfer RNA (tRNA) molecules are approximately 80 nucleotides in length.
Source: Rfam by way of RNAcentral
GCCUGGGUGGCUCAGUUAAGCAUCUGACUUUGGCUCAGGUCAUGGUCUCACAGUCCAUGGGUUCAAGCCCCAUGUCAGGCU